Molecule: ribosomal RNA, 434 nt
Filed under: uncultured Clostridium sp.
Lineage: Bacteria; Bacillati; Bacillota; Clostridia; Eubacteriales; Clostridiaceae
Description: partial 16S ribosomal RNA
Rfam family: Bacterial small subunit ribosomal RNA
Source: RNAcentral
ACGGGAGGCAGCAGUGGGGAAUAUUGCACAAUGGGGGAAACCCUGAUGCAGCGACGCCGCGUGAGUGAAGAAGUAUUUCGGUAUGUAAAGCUCUAUCAGCAGGGAAGAAAAUGACGGUACCUGACUAAGAAGCCCCGGCUAACUACGUGCCAGCAGCCGCGGUAAUACGUAGGGGGCAAGCGUUAUCCGGAUUUACUGGGUGUAAAGGGAGCGUAGACGGUAAUGCAAGUCAGAAGUGAAAGCCCAGGGCUCAACCGUGGGACUGCUUUUGAAACUGUAAUACUGGAGUGCAGGAGAGGUAAGUGGAAUUCCUAGUGUAGCGGUGAAAUGCGUAGAUAUUAGGAGGAACACCAGUGGCGAAGGCGGCUUACUGGACUGUAACUGACGUUGAGGCUCGAAAGCGUGGGGAGCAAACAGGAUUAGAUACCCUGGUA